Molecule: long non-coding RNA, 11365 nt
Filed under: Manihot esculenta (cassava)
Lineage: Eukaryota; Viridiplantae; Streptophyta; Magnoliopsida; Malpighiales; Euphorbiaceae
Description: long non-coding RNA (MESC_LNC008951)
Source: RNAcentral
GAUGAGGAUGCUUUAUGUUCCUUACACAAACUAGAGCAAUCGAUGGUCUAGGUAACCAAUAUUGUUGUCUUUUGUGGUGUGCAUGUUCUUAUUUGUUUUUGUGAUGCAUGUAUUUUCUUUUCGAUUUAAAUUCUUUCCACUAGAUUGAAAUUUUAGUGGUGUUUCCUCAGGAUCCGUCAAUGUCUCAAAUGCUUGAGGGUUUGACAAAUCCAUCACAAAAAGAUCAGAUUGAGGAACGAAUGGCACGAAUCAAAGAGGAUCCAUCUUUAAAACCUAUUUUAGAAGAGAUUGAGUCUGGUGGUCCGGCAGCCAUGAUGAGGUUGGGAUCACAAGUAGUUUGAUAUUACUGUGAAUCUGUUUGCUAAUAGUAGCUGCUAAAAAUUUGGGGCUUUUUACACCCUUGGUUGAAUUGUGGACUAAGUUGUGGUUAUUACCAAUUAGCUUGUUUCAAUUUUAUCCCUAAACUUUUAACUUCCAUAUAAUUGCUAGAAUGGUAAACAUCCUGGUUGGUCCCAUAUGUUUAUUGAGGUGAAUUGGAUUGCUAGUCACAAUUGCUUUUAUGCUUGGUUUGGUGUUAUGAUGACAUCAUUUUUAUAUUUAAUUGCCAAUGAUCAAAUUUUAGUCGUAGUUUCAGUGAAUUUUUUUAUCUUUAUUGGAUGACUUAAUAUUUAACCCAAAGUUCAGGAGCAGAGUAGUUCACCUCCAAAAAAAUAUUCUUAUUUGUGAAGAGUUCCUUGCCUUAUGUUGUGGCAAAGGUGGAUGCAUUCAGUUGAUUUAAUGCUAGGAUAUUAUUAAGCAAAAAUAUUGCUUUCAUAGGUAUUGGAAUGACAAAGAAGUGCUACAAAAGUUGGGGGAAGCAAUGGGUCUUGCAGUUUCUGGAGAUGCAACCACUUCUGUGGAAAAUCCUGGACAAGAUGAAGCAGAAGAAGCAGGAAAUGAGGAGGAUGAGUCAGUAGUUCACCAUUGUGCUAGUGUUGGUGAUGUCGAGGUAAAUUAUAACUUGUGUUUGUGUUUGCAUGAUUGUUGGAUUCCUUGUCACUUUUAUUUGCUAGGGUAUUAAGUAUUGUGUUUAUUAGGUGAUACAUAUGAAUUUUGAAGGCACCAAUCCAAUAUUUCCAUUUAAUGUAAAUGGAGUUUUAUGGGAUCAAAUUGGUUGAAACAGAUGGUAAAGCUGAGUUGCAAUGGCCAAUGAGACACAUCAUUGCACACCCGAAAUAUCAUGGGCUGCUUGAUAUUUUUGGUUGCAAUCAACAUCUUUUUUUCUGUAUUGUUUUACUUUAUUUUAUUUUAUUUUUGAUUUCUGGGUAUAAAUGUAAAUAUCUGGGUAUGUAAUAUUAUAUACUUUUUUUUAUGAGUUUGCUUUUGUCUACCAUUUAUUUUGUUUACUUUUUGUAUUUAUGGUGGAGCAUAUGCAGUUUGUCUAAACUUGAGUUUUUUUUUUUUUUUCUAUAGAUUUUUCAAUUAUUUGUAUAAAUAAUCUACAGAUUUAAAUUUCAAAAUUAAUGUUUCAAUUUUGGAUUUGCAUAAUAUAUUUUUUAAAUUUUAUGUUUUCUCAAUGAUUUAUGUUUGAAAAUAUAUAAUUUUUGGAUUUUUUUAGUAUAUUGAUAUUUACUUACAUCUUUAGUGCAACCCUUGGUUUAUUGUUAAUUUUGGACAUUUUACUAAUGGUUUAAUUAAAUUCAGGGUUGUGAUGGCAGAUCUGAUCUGCCAUGUUUUGAAGCAAUUCAGUUUGAUUCUGUUGCACCUUUUUAAUACCAAUUUCAAAACCUUUUUGGAAACUAUUGAUUCCAUUAUUUAUUUAUGCCAUGUUAUAUAGCUUUAUUUUUAUUCCCAAGAUAAAAGGCUUCUUGAUUAUUUUGGUGAUAUUUAAACUACUUUUGUGAUAACAUUUUUUUAUUUUUCUUCAUUGUUGAAAAAUAUCUUCUAGAUUUUUUAACUUCUAUAUUUUUUUUCCUUAUAUAAAUAUUUUUUAUUUGUAAUUCCAGCUAACUUUAAAUAGCUGAAGACAUUCUGUUUAAGCAGAGACUAAAAUUUUCUCCAUUAAUCAAUUAGGGUUUGAAAAAUGCAUUGGCUUCUGGUGCUGACAAGGAUGAAGAGGAUUCAGAGGGAAGAACCGCAUUGCAUUUUGCUUGUGGUUAUGGAGAGGUAUGACUGUUACCUCACUUCUUGCUUGUGUGCAUGUAUGCAAUUUUUUUUUUCAUUCUUUAAUUUUUGUAGGGUGGCAAGAGGUGGUGUAGAUGAAUAUUAAGAAUUUUUAACUACUGGUCAAUGAAAUAUCACAACAUAUCUGAAAACUGAUUUAGUGAAUGAUGGAUUAGCAUAGAUAACUGAUUGGGACUUAAACCUCAGAGUUAGGAGCCUAGACCUUCUAUGCUAUGUUGCGAGAAGGGAGUGCUUAGUUAAUGAAUGAUGAAUGUCUUCAUUCGGAAGCUUGCAGGAUGAUAAAUGUAAUAUGGAUAGUUAUCAUCAACGGAUAGCAAAGAAUUAUUGUUGGCUGUUAGGCUUUAGUUUAUAGGAGAAAGUGUAAUAGCAUAUAAUUGCAAAAAAAACUAUGAAAAAAAGACGCAACAGUAAUGGAACCUAAAUAGGUUUUGUUGGACACUUGGACUUGCACUUGAGAAGAAUAGAAAUUAAAUGGAAGAGUCAAUGUCACUAACACAAAAUUUUGUCAUUCACCUUUACUCUAGGUAGGCCAAGUUGAAUUAUUAUUAUUAUUUUUUAAUCUAUGAACAUACAAAUGUUAAGAACCAAAAGCUUUAGUGCUUUGCUUAACAGACCGAUUGGAAUGCCAUAUUUCGCUAUGAUAGAAAUCUUGAAGAUUAUAUUCUUUUUACUUUGGAAAGAUCAAUGUUCAUGAAGGAACGUUGUUAGCAAACCCAGCCUCCACAAGAUCCAGCUACAAGUGAUAGUCGAUGCUGCCACAUGUUGCUGAGAUUUCAGUGUUCUGCCAAGUUUUAAUUGUCAUUUUCUUAAGUUGUUUAUUGUUCAAUUUUCAAGAGUCAUGUUCUCAGUGGUUAAGCCAUAUUCUUAGUCGUUAACCCAUAAUGCAAUAGUGCAAGUUAGUUUUUGCUUUUUCUUAAUGAUAGGAUGGUGAUUCUCCAUGUUGUUUAAUAGUUUUCUGUUUUUAGUAGAUGUUUAUGUCUCCUCUAGUAUUUAGGUCUCUUGUAUUUAGGUGCAAUAGCUCAAUAAAAGAAUUACGAGAAAAUUUUUCAAAGUUUUUUAGUAUUUCAACUCAGGAGAUUUUCAGGUUCUCUCUAAGGAGAAAAUUCCAGCAACAGACUGAUAAGAGUUAGGAAUAGAGUUAGCUUGAAAAAUGAGAAGAGCAAUAAAGUAAAAAUGAAAUUAUGAUGAAAACUUGUAUUGAUUAGCAAUGGAAGACUCUACAAGUUUACUCUCAUAGCACAACUAGUAACAAGGACCAUAGAAGAACCCAACAAGAAAAAUAAAAUGACUCGGAAGAGCCCUCAAGAAAAGCUUCGCAUGCAGAGAAGAACCCUGCCCCUCUAACCAAAGAAAUAAUUGAUAUAUUUUCAGGUCCCCUUUCCAUUAUCCUCUUCCUCUUUUUAUACAAAUUUCUGUCAUCUCUGCCGGCUGUUCUAUCACAUGUUUCCAUCCCCAUUCUCUUCAACAAGCUUUAUCCUUUUUGUUAACAUAUAAUCUAGAAUACUCCAUAUUCCUAUCGCAGACCCAUAACUCAAUCCAUUUCUAAGGAUUCUAAUAUUUUGGUACUAGAGCCAGGGGUUAUGGGUGAAUCCAUCCAAUAACAACUUGAUUAAAUUUUUGCAUAAUUUUUGGAAGAGCAAGCUACCAACAAAGCUCGUUGAGAAGAGUUGAAUGCUAAGUUGGAAUCUCUCACACGUGACAUCACCAACUCCAAACUAGCAAAUGUAGCAGAAGGAAGCAACAAUUCUCAACCUUGUAGGGGCAAAGGAACGACUGAAACAGUAGGAUAAGAUAAUUUAGGUAACAAAACUAUUGUUUCAAAAUUCACCCAAUUGAAUUUUUUCCUAAUGGAUAAGAGACCCAUUAGGAUGGUUGAGUAGAUAUGAGCACUUCUUAUGUCACCAAUGUACCUAGCAGAAGAAAAAAAUCGAUUUAGCUUCUUCCCAUUUGGAUGGUAUAGCCCAAUUAUGGUUUUUGCAGUUAAUGCAUGAUUUUUCUAACUUAAUUUGGGAAGAGUUCAAGCACCAAUGCAACUUUCAUUUUGGACCACCAAUCGGUAGUAAUAAAUUGGGAAAGCUAGCAAAAUUAAAGCAAGCAUGAUUGAUUGUUGACUUCCAAAUCUAAUUUGAGAUUCUUGUCUCUCGAGUUGGAAGCCUCACUUGAGAUAAAAAAUUACAGUUUUAUCUCAGCGGGUUGCAAAAAUACAUUGGUGUGGAGGUGGAACUUCACUAAUCAACCGUCACGACCAUGAGCUUGUCAAGAUUGUAUGAACGGGAAAAUUGGCCCAUAUGUGCUGCAAGUCCUUCGACCAAUCAUUCAUCUCAAUAAACAACGGAAGGUACCGAAUAAUUAAGCGCUUGAACUGCGAGAAGAUGGAGGAACAACGACGAAAAGGACUUCGUUUUAACUGUGAUGAACCCUUUGUUUGAGAACACUCGUGCAAGAAACUAUUUUGGCUGGAUUUAACAUAUGAUGACAUGGGAGAUGUAGCAACCAACCAGCUAUUGGCUGAACAGUUCCCAUAGAGGAGGAGGCGGGGAGUAAUGUUAGCAGACCUAGCCUCCACAAGAUCCAGCUACAAGUGGCAGUUGAUGACAGCAGCAACCCAACUAGGGAUCAAGGAAUCAUGAGCCAUGGGCCAAACCCCUUGAGAUUUUACUACAGAAGAAAUGUGAAAGAAAAGGGUAGAUAGUUCAAAAUUUGCCAAGCUAGAAUGGACAAAAUAGGUGGUUAGAGUGAUUCUCGGGUAGUACCUAGAAAGAGAAAGAAUCUUUAUUGUUUUAUAAAUAUUAUUAGCUGUAGAGGACGAUAAGUUGUUAUUUUCUUUUAUGCAGCCAUUAUUGGGCUAGCUUGAGCUAGAAUUUCCUCUUUUUUUUUUGGGCUGUGAAACUUUAUUAGAAGGGAAUUGCCAUUGAAAUCCAAUAUCAGUCUUAUCUUCCCAUCCUUUUAUUGUUAUUUGCUCUUAACUCUAUCUGUUGAUGCUGCCAGGUGAUGAGAUUUCAUUGUUGUUGCGAGGUUUCAAUUUUCAAUUUUUAAAGUUGUUAAUUGUUAUUCUAUUUUCAAGGGUUAUAUUCUUAGUGGUUAAGCUAUAUCCUUAGUGGUUAACUCAUUAUGUAGACCGUGAAUAAUUUUUUGCUUUUCCUUGAUGGUAGGAGGGUGAUUCUCUCAUGUUGCUUAAUGGUUUCUUGUUUUCAGGAGAUGGUGCAAUAACUUAAUAAAAGAAUUAUGAGAAAAUUUUUCAAAGUUUUUUAAUACUUCAACUCGAGAUUUUCUAGUUCUUUCUAAGGAGUUUGUUCCAUCGCAACCAUAGGUCUAAAAAAGAAAAUUUCUUCCCCAGAAAAUUUCAGCAAUAGACUCAUUCUAAGGACCCUAACAAACAUAUAGUACAUGUCACCUUGUCUAGUGUGUUUUAAUCACUCAUGAUUUACUUGCCUUAAAUUAAUUUAAAUAAGGUCACUUCAAACUUAUCAGCUUAUGUGUGUUAAUCUUAUAUAAUCCAUUCAACCUGAGACCACUCCCUCUUUGCAUUCAUAGAUUUACUAUACUGCAAAACAUGAACAAUAUAACAAAUAUUGCAGAUCUCUGGCUGGCAUGUAAAUGCACCUUCUCAUAUCUCGAAUUUGAAUUAUAUGUGUGUGCUUUGUGUGCUUGAUGUGCACACAAGUUAGGAAUUUUGACCAGCUCAGUAAGUGGGGAUUCCUCCUUGCACCCUGGGACAUCCCAAGGUGUGCUUUCAACUAUGUCAGUUAUUUCUUCUUGAUGAAGGCACAUGUUUGUAUAUUGAUUAAGCUGUCAGAAGUGUUGGAGGUCUUGGAAAUGCACGGACAAAACGGUCUAGAUUUUUUGGUUACAUGGAAAUAAGAAAUGCACUUGAAUUUAAUUUCAUUUACUAUUUUUCAGGUAAAGUGUGCUCAAAUCCUUCUUGAGGCAGGAGCAACUGUUGAUGCACUGGAUAAAAAUAAGAACACUGCACUGCACUAUGCAGCUGGUUAUGGAAGGAAGGAGUGUGUAGCCCUUCUACUGGAGAAUGGCGCAGCUGUGUAAGUCUUUAGCAUCAGUUCGCAUAAUAUUUUGUGGAUUUUUAUGUGAAAUUUGUUCCCUGUAUUGACUCUGAUUCUUGGUUCGUUAUCAAACUGCAGUACCCUUCAGAACAUGGAUGGCAAGACUCCCAUUGAUGUUGCCAAGCUAAACAAUCAGCAUGAAGUACUAAAGUUGCUUGAGAAGGAUGCCUUCCUGUAACUAGGAGGAUGAGGGACGUGUGCAUGUUGUGGGCACUUCAAGUGUGAUAGACCAUUUUGUUCCCUGUGCUGUCUUUGCAUCUAUUAGUUGCUACAUCUUUCGGUUUUAUAAUCAGUAACAUAAUUUUUUAGAAGAAAAAUAUUUUAUGCUGAUUAGUUCAAGCAAAAUAAUUUGUUUACUAAUUGAUAUAGUUAUGUUAAAUAUAUAUGUAUAUUUCAUUUCCCUUAUUAAAUAGGUUAGAAUUGCUAUUUAUAUCAAGAAGUUUGACUAAGAUUAAUAAACUUUAAACAAUAGGAUAAAAUUUAUAACAAAGAAAAUAUUUAAGGGAGGUAAGUUGGUUUUUAAUAUUUUUGUUUUAUAAGUUAUUGUCAUAAUUGUCGCGUUUGCGUAAUCUGCUGAAGAAGGGCUUGUUAAUGUUAAUCAAACAAGGGAGUAAUCUCAUGCCAACAUUAUUUAUUGAACACUCAAAACACAACGAAAGAACAUACGAAUUUCAAAAAUUAAAGAAAUAUUUUUCCAUUUCACUAUGUUUUAUAGACAAUCUCACUUUAUUAAUUAUUAUAUAAAAAAUUUUCGCUUGUAAUACAAGAUGUUUGCUGAUAAAAAAAUAUUACAAAAAAAAUAAAGUAUAUUAGUAUAUUUAAAAUUCUGUUCAUUAAUAGUAUUUUAAUCAUAUAAAUUCAGUAAACAAACAACAAAUCCGUGAAUGUUUGAACUUAGUAUCAAAUACAAAAAUAAAAUAUUACAUGAUGAACUGGAAAAAAUUAAAUUAAAUUGAAAUAAAGACGAUUAAUUAAUUAUCUUUAAAUUAAAUUUUAUUAAUUUUGUCGGUGAUAAUAUUUUUCGAGUUUUUUUUUUUAAUCUUCCUUAAAAAGUAAGAAAUUAAAGGUAAAGCCCAGUCAUGUAUUGGGCCCCACGGAUUGGGCUUUAGAAAUAGAAGAUUGGGAAAGGGGAUGUAAAAUCCUUGGCACGAAACGAGAAUGGAGAAGAUGAGGAUUAAGGUGGCCCCACUCGCCAACUCAUUCUAUCCUCUAUUCUGUUAAAUAUUUCUCUCUCUCUCUCUCUUGUCUGCUUCUCUUUUUAUUUUUUAAUAUUAGAGAAGGAAGGUUGACACAUCGCACGUAGAUAGACACCCACGCACACUCACAGAUAGGGUUUCCAAUCUAGUCCUCAAACCGAAGUCUCUCAUUUCUUUACUACAUCUCCCUCGGGUUUGGCUCUGAUUUCUAUUUCUUUUUUUGAAUUUUAAUUUCGUUUUUAUUGUUUUCCUGGACAUCUCAUAAUUCUCUCGAUUCAGCUUCUUCUCAUGGCUUCCAAUUCGAACAAGGAUGUUCCCUCUGGUAUGCUCUUCUUUUUUCCUGCUCAAUUUACUAGUUUUAUUUUUCUUGAAAUCUAUUGGGGUUUUACUUUGUUUGUUUGCUUCGAGUUUUGUCGGUCCUCCUCUAAGGAUUGCGCUCUAAUCCUUCAAUUGUUUUCUUCUUUAUACUUAAUCGCCGAAAGAGUUGAUGGCAGCACUAGAAUUCUAUGCCCUUUUCUUAACGGAUGUUUUCUUUAUCUUCUUUUAAUCGUUUACUAGUACUCUGUAUUGAGUAUAAAACAUUAACCCUUUAUUUCGCAUGAUUCAUUUUGUAAGAAAAGAAUUCAAAUGAAUUUUUGCAAAAUCAUGUGAGAUUUCAACAUGUUUGAAAUGAAAAUUUUUUAAGUUGAAAAGAAUUGAGUUCUUUUAUUCCAAACAAAAGAUAAGAAAUAAGAACUUUCAUUCCGUUCCAUUUUGGAUACUGUACAUGCUUUGGAUCUUACGAAGAACACUUUGUUAUAUUCAUUAUUUGUUGUUCAUGCUUACUAUGGAUGUUUCCUGCUGCAUGUCAUAAUUAGCCUGUUGAAGUGAAUUGCUGUCACUUUAUUUGGAAUUAGUUACCUGAUUUAUUAAUUUUUCUCACGUAUCCCUUGCCUUUUCCUAGACGAGAAAACAGGUUCUACUGAAAGCAAAAUCCCUAAAUCAGAAGUGUCGUCUGGGGAGUCACAGUCAGGACAGGGAAGAGCUCCCCCUACUCCAGGACCUGGAUUUGUUCCCAAUGUUUUUGAUUUCUCAGCGAUGAGUGGCCUGCUUAAUGUAUGUUAUCCAAUUUCACAUUAUUUUCAUUUUAAUGUCAUCUAUGCUUUUUUCUACUCCUUUUCCAGUAUGUUGUGCUUGCUAAGAUGCUUCUAUUGCGAUCAGAAAGUGUAGAGAGAGUAUGAGCAGAUGAUUUUAGGUGUUAAAAUGCAGCUGGUUUAAUUUGUUGCAUAGCUGCCAAGUUAGUCCAUUUCAAUUUGGCUGUUAAUCACCCAGUGCAGUCAAAAGCUUAUGUUCAUGCGAGAUGCCUCAUGCAGAUGCUUGCUUUAUUCAUGGAACUGUACACACUGCCAAGCUUUGGUCACUGUGCACCUCACAUAAAAAUUUGGUUUCUGUUCCAGGUUCUAGAAGACAUGUACAAAAAGGUUAAGCAGUUAAUUGUUACGAGUCUAAUCAGAUUUUUAUUUUUUGGCACCCAGGGUUCUUAUUGAUUUCAUCAUCAGGCAGUGAGUUUAACUAUUUACUUUUUAAUUGUUUAUUUUAUUUUUUCUCUUCUCUACCAUUUCAGUCCCUCUGUUUCCAUUUUCAAAUCUUGGUACUACUUCCUAUUCUCCCCUUCUUUUGGUUUUAAAUCUCACUUCCUUGUCUAUCCACUUACCUUGCAAAAUUUUUUAAUCUAAUAUUUGUUGCCUUAUCCUCAUCAUCAGCAUCAUUUUGCGAAGUAAUUCUACUUUGUCCCACUGUUUCUUCUCUAGGCAAUAUUUUUAACCUCAUCAUCCUUUGUCUUCUUUAUAGUAAUUUGUUCAAAACUUUUUGAACUUGUUUCUUUAUUAGAAGGAAAAAAUACCUUCUACUUUCUAUACUUGUGUUAAAAUUUUCUUUGUUAUGGAAUGCUGUUGCUUUAUUAGCCUCAGUUAGGUCAUAAUCAUUCAGUCCCAAAACCCACAUAAAGAAUUGUUGUGGCAGGUAUCAUCCAUCUUAACAUUCUCAUCCCAUGACAUCAAUUCAAACAAAUGUAGUGCUUUUUGUUGGGCCAUGCAUUGCACCUCAAGCAAUCAAGGAAACUGUUGCCGUAAUUGCACCUUUUGCUUUUGUCUCUCUUGAGUCAUUGGGUGGGACUUGAUGGGGGAAAGGAAUAUUUGAAUUGAACUAUGUUCAGCAAAAGUUAUUCAUUUGAAUGGGAAAACUUUUAUGUAUUUAUUCCUGGCACAACUUUUUAUAUAAUUAAUUGGCUUUAGUUCACUGCAGUAUUGGAUACUUGAUACUUGUUCUUCGCUUGUAGCCUUGUUCGUAUUUUCUUCUUGACCUUUAGGUUUUACAAUUUCCUUUUUCCUUUGUCAUUAGUCAAUGUGCAUGGCUUGCUCUAUGUAGGACCCAAGCAUCAAGGAACUGGCUGAGCAAAUAGCAAAAGAUCCUUCAUUUAACCAGAUGGCAGAUCAGCUCCAUAAAACGCUUCAAGGUGUAGGAGCUGAUGAUGGGAUCCCUCAGUUCGAUUCACAACAAUACUAUUCCACCAUGCAACAAGUUAUGCAGAAUCCUCAAUUUAUGACUAUGGCUGAACGCCUUGGCAAUGCAUUGAUGCAGGUAUAUCUGGACUCCAGCUUCAUUUAAUUGUUUUUAAUUUUUUCAGAAAACAUUGCACCUUAAUGAUUUGCGUUCCAAAUCACAUGAUCCAGAUUAUGUAUUAUUAGCAAACUGGAGUUAAAGCUUGGAAUUUUAAAUGCAAAAAAUAAUGAAUGAGUAGAUAAUUAAAAAAUCUCAAGCAUACUUUGAGAUAACAUUGAUUUUAAUAUCAUCAUUAUGAUGGUGUAAGUUUUGGGAAUUUUCUCUUCUUUUUUUUUUUAAAAAAUUUUUAAAAAUCUUUUAUAGCAUUGAAUUAGUUGAUAUAAGCAUAUUUUUAUUGAAAAUUAAUUUACUAUAACUAUGGGAUAGCAGAAAAUCUUUAUGUUUAUUGUUCAGUCCAUAUAUAUGACAUUUUCUACAUUUCAUUACACGUGCUAUUCAGAUAAUCUACUUUGUAUCCCACUAAGCAAAUUGAAAGAAACCUUAUCAUACCACAUUUUCAGACAAGGAAGCUUUACAUUCCUGUUUUCUUUUAACAUACUUGAGCAACCGAUGGUCUAGGUAAUCUAUAUUGCUUGGUUUUGGUGUGUGCAUGUUCAUAUUCAUUUUGGUGGUGCAUAUAUCUUUUCUUUUCGAUUUAAAUUCUUUCCACUAGAUUGAAAUUUUAGUUUUGUUUCCUCAGGAUCCGUCAAUGUCUCAAAUGCUUGAGAGUUUGACAAAUCCAUCACAAAAAGAUCAGAUUGAGGAACGAAUGGCACGAAUCAAAGAGGAUCCUUCUUUAAAACCUAUUUUAGAAGAGAUUGAGUCUGGUGGUCCAGCAGCCAUGAUGAGGUUUGGAUCAUGAGUAGCUUGAUAGUACUGUGAGGCUGUUUGCUUGUAGUAGCUGGCCAAAACUUUGGGUUUUAUUGCAGCCAUUAGUUGUUGAAUUGUGACAAGUUUGUAGGAGGUUAUUACAAAUUAAUUUGUUUCAAUUUAUCACUAAACUUUUAAAUUCCAUAUGAGUGUUAGAAUGGUAAACAUCCUGGUUAGUGACAUAUAUUUACUAAGAUGAAUUGGAAUUGUUACUUACAAAUGCUUUUACACUUGGUUUGGUGUUAUAAUGACUUCAUUUUUAUAUUUAAUUGCCAAUGGUCAAAUUUUAGUCAAUAGUUUCAAUGGAUUUGUGAUCUUUAUUGGAUGACUCAAUACUUAAUCGAAAGUUCAGGAGCAGUGGUGUACUUCAUCUCCAAAAAAGUAUUCUUAUUUGUAUAGAGUUCCUUGCCUUGUGGUGUGGCAAAGGUGGAUGCAUUCAGUUGACUUAAUGCUAAUACAUUAUUAAGCAAAGCAUAUUGAUUUCAUACUCAUAGG